UCUUAGUGGCGGACGGGUGAGUAACGCGUGGGUAACCUGCCUUAUACAGGGGGAUAACACUUAGAAAUAGGUGCUAAUACCGCAUAAGCGCACGGGGCUGCAUGGCCCAGUGUGAAAAACUCCGGUGGUAUAAGAUGGACCCGCGUCUGAUUAGCUUGUUGGCGGGGUAACGGCCCACCAAGGCGACGAUCAGUAGCCGGCCUGAGAGGGUGGACGGCCACAUUGGGACUGAGACACGGCCCAAACUCCUACGGGAGGCAGCAG
This 264-nucleotide ribosomal RNA is filed under the name uncultured bacterium. RNAcentral's name for it is "partial 16S ribosomal RNA". It matches the Rfam family "Bacterial small subunit ribosomal RNA", at positions 90 to 354 of the family's 1533-position model. The record is from RNAcentral.